RNAcentral lists this ribosomal RNA (119 nucleotides) under Aegilops tauschii subsp. strangulata. The record is from RNAcentral. Lineage: Eukaryota; Viridiplantae; Streptophyta; Magnoliopsida; Poales; Poaceae.
GGGUGCGAUCAUACCAGCACUAAAGCACCGGAUCCCAUCAGAACUUCGAAGUUAAGCGUGCUUGGGCGAGAGUAGUACUAGGAUGGGUGACCAACUGGGAAGUCCUCGUGUUGCAUUCC